AAUCGAAAACAGAGUUAUGCACCUAACUGGAAUUUCCUCUUGAUAAGGAACGUUUUUCAAAAGAGUGGUAUGUGCCAUAAAAUAUUUCGUUUAACAAAAUAUCAAUUUGAAAAUAUCUGAGGGCUCUGGAUCUCACAUAGAUUAUUAAGCAAAACAGUCGCAAGUCAUAUGACACUAUUAGUGUAUCGUUACCGGCCCUAUUGUCCGAGCAAAAAACGUGUUAUGACACUUGACACGUUAUUGCGUAUCUAACUUCAAAUUAAACCGUUGGUGCCUUUCGGACAGUGUCAAGUGCAGCUCUGUGUUUUUUCGUGUUUUUAAUCAGCACAUUGUGAUUCCUGACAAAAGAAGUGUAAAAACAGUUUCUAUGUGGAUUACUGAUAUGAAAAUAAGUGGACGUUUCCAAGAAUGUUCUCGAGAGGAAAAAAUCGCGUUAAAUUAUGCAAAGCGCCUGAUGCCAAUCCUGCAAAAAGGACCGGACAAAAGCUAUUCAGUAGAAUGUUGUUAAGAGGAAAAAAUCUCGUUAAAUUAUGCGAAGCACCUGAUGCCAAUUCAAGCAGCCAACAAUCACCGGGUUUGCCUCAGACUAGCACAGCUUCAACUCCAAUAACUACCCAUGCCUCUGAUACGCCCCAAUUCAGUGCUCCAUCUCCAAGAAUUACACAUUCAUCUGAUUCGUCAAUCACAAGAGAAGCAUCACCAAUCAUUGGACAAACAUCAUCUACUAGUCAUGAGCCAAUUAAUAACUUAAAUUCUGCAACCAAAACAGUGGACAUAAUUCUACCAGUAGAUGACAAAGAGUUGUUGGAUGCAGUUAAUUCCAUAACAGCCAGCGUACCGUAUAACGAUCAUCACAGGGAUCUUACUCUAAAUGCAAAUUCUAUUGAAGAUGCUAACGUAUUACCAUCCGAUAUUUUGCUUGAAGAAAACGCUAGAACUCCUUCCAUGGAACAAUGCGAAGAUAUGUUCGGAAAGAACAAUCUAUCGCCACGAAUCGCACAAUCACCCGUUGAAUCUGCUACAACCACAACACAACCUGAAAUAAUUCAAAAUAACAUGCCUCCUGAGAAUAUUCAAUCUACAUACGUGCUCCAGAAUAUUA
This is a long non-coding RNA of Ostrinia nubilalis (European corn borer), 1102 nucleotides long. RefSeq lists it as uncharacterized. The transcript is spliced from 3 exons. The record is from RefSeq and is a predicted model, not a curated record. Lineage: Eukaryota; Metazoa; Arthropoda; Insecta; Lepidoptera; Crambidae.